RNAcentral lists this ribosomal RNA (1160 nucleotides) under uncultured bacterium. Its description in RNAcentral is "bacterial SSU rRNA". It matches the Rfam family "Bacterial small subunit ribosomal RNA", at positions 100 to 1290 of the family's 1533-position model. The record is from RNAcentral.
GAACGGGUGAGUAACGCGUUGGUGACCUGCCCCGAAGAGGGGGACAACAACUCGAAAGAGUUGCUAAUACCCCAUGUGGUCACGAGGGUUAGAGUCCUUGUGACUGAAGGAGUAAUCCGCUUUGGGAGGGGCCUGCGUCCCAUCAGCUAGUUGGUAGGGUAAUGGCCUACCAAGGCGAAGACGGGUAGGGGGCCUGAGAGGGUGGCCCCCCACAAUGGAACUGAAACACGGUCCAUACACCUACGGGUGGCAGCAGUAGGGAAUUUCGCACAAUGGGCGAAAGCCUGAUGCAGCAACGCCGCGUGCACGAUGAAGGCCUUCGGGUCGUAAAGUGCUUUUCGGGGAGAUGAGGAAGGACAGUAUCCCCGGAAUAAGGAUCGGCUAACUACGUGCCAGCAGCCGCGGUAAAACGUAGGAUCCGAGCGUUAUCCGAAUUUACUGGGCGUAAAGCGCGUGCAGGCGGUUUGGUAAGUUGGAUGUGAAAGCUCCCGGAUCAACUGGGAGAGGUCGUUCAAAACUGCCAGACUAGAGGGUGGUAGAGGGAGGUGGAAUUCCCGGUGUAGUGGUGAAAUGCGUAGAUAUCGGGAGGAACACCAGUGGCGAAGGCGGCCUCCUGGACCAUUCCUGACGCUAAGACGCGAAAGCUAGGGUAGCAAACGGGAUUAGAAACCCCGGUAGUCCUAGCCGUAAACGAUGUGGACUGGGCGUUGGUGGGGUAAAAUCCAUCAGUGCCGUAGCUAACGCGAUAAGUCCACCGCCUGGGGACUACGACCGCAAGGUUAAAACUCAAAGGAAUUGACGGGGCCCCGCACAAGCAGCGGAGCGUGUGGUUUAAUUCGAUGCUACACGAAGAACCUUACCCGGGUUUGACAUACAGGUGGUAGGGAUCCGAAAGGUGACCGACCCCUCGGGGAGCCUGUACAGGUGCUGCAUGGCUGUCGUCAGCUCGUGCCGUGAGGUGUCCGGUUAAGUCCGGUAACGAGCGCAACCCUUGCCGUAUGUUACAUGUGUCAUGCGGAACUGCCGAAUAAAGUCGGAGGAAGGUGGGGAUGACGUCAAGUCAGCAUGGCCUUUAUAUCCGGGGCUACACACACGCUACAAUGGUCGGUACAAUAGGUCGCAAAGCCGCGAGGUGGAGCCAAUCCAUAAAGCCGGCCUCA